Oncorhynchus tshawytscha (Chinook salmon) is the source of this 1762-nucleotide long non-coding RNA. The record is from Ensembl. NCBI's taxonomy places the organism in Eukaryota, Metazoa, Chordata, Actinopteri, Salmoniformes, Salmonidae.
CUUAAAGGAGAGGUGUAUAAAUCAUCUGUCAUAGAGUUAGUCUGAUGCCUUAAAGGAGAGGUGUAUAAAUCAUGUCAUAGAGAUAGCCUGGAGCCUUCAAGGAGAGGUGUAUAAAUCAUCUGUCAUUGAGUUAGUCUGGAGCCUUAAAGGAGAGGUGUAUAAAUCAUCUGUCAUAGAGUUAGUCUGAUGCCUUAAAGGAGAGGUGUAUAAAUCAUCUGUCAUUGAGUUAGUCUGGAGCCUUAAAGGUGAGGUGUAUAAAUCAUCUGUCAUAGAGUUAGUCUGAUGCCUUAAAGAAGAGGUGUAUAAAUCAUCUGUCAUAGAGUUAGUCUGAUGCCUUAAAGGAGAGGUGUAUAAAUCAUCUGUCAUUGAGUUAGUCUGGAGCCUUAAAGGUGAGGUGUAUAAAUCAUCUGUCAUAGAGUUAGCCUGGAGCCUUAAAGGAGCGGUUUAUAAAUUGGACUUGACAUGGAUCUUAUGAUGCCAUGGAGAAUCAGGAAGAGAGAGGGCAACACCCAUGUAUGUCAAAGUCACAGGGUGGGUGACAUAGUGACAUGAUCCUUCAAAACAGUGACACAGUGACAAGAUGAUGAGCAUCCCAGUCAGAUUCUCCACACUGUCUGCCCUGUCUGUGGUUUAAGAUAACAUUAGUUCACCACGCUGUCUGAGAGAGAGAGAGAGAGAGAGAGAGAGACGCAGGGAGAAAGAGGCAGAGAGAGAGAGAGACGCAGGGAGAAAGAGGCAGAGAGAGAGAAAAACAGAGAAAGAAAGGCAGAGAGAAAAAGAGGCAGAGAAAGAGAGAAGUAGAGAGAGAGGGGCAGAGAGAAAAAGAGAGAGAGGCAGAGAGAGAGAGGCAGAGAAAGAGAGAGAGAGAGAGGCAGAGAGAGAGAGAGGCAGAGAGAGUGAGAGAGGCAGAGAAUGAGAGGCAGUUCACCAGAGAGAGAGAGAGAGAGAGAGAGAGAGAGAGAGAGAGAGAGAGAGAGAGAGAGAGAGAGAGAGAGAGAGAGAGAGAGAGAGAGAGAGAGAGAGAGAGAGAGAGAGAGAGAGAGAGAGAGAGAGAGAGAGAGGCAAAGAGAGAGAGAGAGAGAGAGAGAGAGAGGCAGGCAAAGAGAGAGAGAGCCGCAGGGAGAAAGAGGCAGAGAGAGAGAGAAAAACAGAGAAAGAAAGGCAGAGAGAGAAAAAGAGGCAGAGAAAGAGAGGCAGAGAGAGAGAGAGAGGCAGAGAGAGAGAGAGGCAGAGAGAGUGAGAGAGGCAGAGAAAGUGAGGCAGAGAGAAAGUGAGGCAGAGAGAGAGAGAAGAAGAGACAAAGAGAAGCAGAUAGAGAGGCAGAGAGAGAGAGAGGCAGAGAGAGAGGCAGAGAGAGAGAGAGGCAGCGAGAGAGAGAGGCACAGAGAGAGAGAGAGGCAGAGAGAGAGGCAGAGAGAGAGGCAGAGAGAAAGAGAGGCAGAGAGAAAGAGAGGCAGAGAGAAAGAGAGGCAGAGAAAGGGAGAGAGAGGCAGAGAGAGAGAGAGAGAGUGAGAGAGGCAGAGAGAGAGAAGCAGAGAGAGAGACAGGUAGAGAGAGCAGUUGAAUGCAAGUUUCAGUUGCUCUUCACCAACUUCCUCCUGCAGCCAACGCCUGCACUUUGGGAGGCUCUAUUUAACCAAUAAGGGCCGAGGAAGUGUGGAAUAUGGGCAAUAUACCACGACUGACGGCUGUUCUUAGGCACCACACAACACGGAGUGCCUGGAUACAGCCCUUAGCCGUGGUACAUUGGGCACAUUCCACA